GUGCUUGCUUCAGCAGCACAUUUAUGAAAAAUUGGAACAAUACAGAGGAUUAGCAUGGCCCCUGCACAAGGAUGACACGAAAAUUUGUGAAGCAUUCAUAUUUUUG
Trichechus manatus latirostris (Florida manatee) is the source of this 106-nucleotide small nuclear RNA. The record is from RefSeq and is a predicted model, not a curated record. NCBI's taxonomy places the organism in Eukaryota, Metazoa, Chordata, Mammalia, Sirenia, Trichechidae.